ACCCCUGGGAAUGGGCAAAGAGACACCUGAUCAGUGGUGCUACUCUUAGAUCAACCAGGGCAAAGUAAACUAACAGCCCCUUGUUCAUCCUAGCCUGAUGCCUGUCCAUGGCCAGAGCUGUUUCGUGCCUGGGGCACAAAA
Otolemur garnettii (small-eared galago) is the source of this 141-nucleotide small nucleolar RNA. Lineage: Eukaryota; Metazoa; Chordata; Mammalia; Primates; Galagidae. The record is from Ensembl.